RNAcentral lists this ribosomal RNA (771 nucleotides) under uncultured Neocallimastigales. RNAcentral's name for it is "partial large subunit ribosomal RNA". It matches the Rfam family "Eukaryotic large subunit ribosomal RNA", at positions 26 to 640 of the family's 3401-position model. Lineage: Eukaryota; Fungi; Neocallimastigomycota; Neocallimastigomycetes; Neocallimastigales. The record is from RNAcentral.
CGCAUCUGUGCAUGCAGCAUAUCAAUAAGCGGAGGAAAAGAAACUAGCAAGGAUUCCCCUAGUAACGGCGAGUGAAGCGGAAGAGCUCAAAUUUGAAAUCUUAAAGGGUUUCCCUUUACGAAUUGUAGUUUAAAGAAGUGUUUUCUGUUGAGGUUUUGGUAAAAGUUCUUUGGAAUAGGACAUCAUAGAGGGUGAGAAUCCCGUAUUUGACCUUUACUUUCAACUUUGUGAUACACUUUCAAAGAGUCGGAUUGUUUGGGAAUGCAGUCCAAAAUGGGUGGUAAAUUUCAUCUAAAGCUAAAUAUUGGCGAGAGACCGAUAGCGAACAAGUACCGUGAGGGAAAGAUGAAAAGAACUUUGAAAAGAGAGUUAAACAGUACGUGAAAUUGUCAAAAGGGAAGCGUUUGACACCAGUGUUGUUUUCUGAAAAUCAAUUAAAGAACUGUUUAUGCUAAGUUGUUUAGACUUUAUCAGCUAACUGUUUAGUUUUGAGCUUUUCUUUAAUGCACUUUUCAGUUAACAAGUCAACAUCAAUUUCUUUUGCUGUAAAAAAGCUUGAGGAAGGUGGCUUGAGAUUCGUCUUAAGUGUUUAUAGCCUCUUGCCUAUGCAGUCGGAGAGAUUGAGGUCUGCAGCGUAGAUCCUUCGGGGCUAAAUGCAUUUGUGCUAAGUUAUAGCAUUUUAUAGACAACUUGUUGACUAUGAUUUGUCUUGUAGCUUACUCGCUUAUGUUAUUUUACCUACGCUUAGGAUGUUGACAGCAGUUAGACUGU